Molecule: long non-coding RNA, 715 nt
Organism: Gadus morhua (Atlantic cod)
Lineage: Eukaryota; Metazoa; Chordata; Actinopteri; Gadiformes; Gadidae
Exons: 2
Source: RefSeq, a predicted model, not a curated record
AGAGCGGCUGGGCUGGCUGAGGUCAGGUCUUAACCACAUGAUGGUGAGCUGGUGGUGACAGCUACAGAAAUGAAGUCAGGUUGGCAAAAACUGAAGGAAAGACGGGAGAAAGAGGAGAGGGCCAAAAGAGGCAGGCAACUGGUCACUCAAUUGUUCGCCAAUAAAGAAGGAGGAGGACAAGAUCCGCCCACGGCCACCACGACUGGAUUCCAUUUCGGAGAAGGAGGUAAGCAACAUUAGUUUGGUAGGAUGUUAGUUGCUUUAGGAUGAAAGUUUUGAAUGAGGGUGCCUUCUAGGCUAGAUCAUAUUUCAGUAUUUGACGGUCAGUCGUUAGGUUCGAGAAAACAGAAUGUUUUUCUUUCUUUUACUGUAACUCUUGUUACUUGUAUAUUUUUAUUGAUGUCUACAAUGUGGAUCCAUUGAUAUUGUAUGCAAUUGCACUGUAAAUUAUGUUCUUUGUUUACAUUUUGAUUGUUACUUGGAGCUAUUUUUUGCACUUUAGACUUCAGCAAUUAAACUUUUUAUUCAUGAACAGUGUAAAUUGAGAUUUUUUUUCAUAUUGUUUGAAGCUGAAGUGUAAAUAUUUGUGUUGAUGUCAAGCAAUUGUAAUGUUAAUUCAGUUCCUAUAAGAGUCUAUCUUUUUAAUGUAUCUUUUUUAUGUACUAUUUAUGGAAUUUGAAAUUGUACUUGCAUAAUAAAUAUGUGUUUAAAGUAA